AUCUCAUAAGCCAUGGAUGAGAGCAGAAAUGAUGAUGAAAUGCUGGUGAACAUAAAUGAUAUUUUCCUCACAAGAAAAGAGAUGAGAACAAUCUCUUACAAUCAUUGGAUAUCAAAUAUGGUGGUUGAAGUCUAUUGCCAAAUGCUCCAGCUGAAACAAAAGCGUAGAGGAACCAAAUUUUUCUUUCCGCCUUCGAU
Molecule: long non-coding RNA, 197 nt
Organism: Cornus florida
Lineage: Eukaryota; Viridiplantae; Streptophyta; Magnoliopsida; Cornales; Cornaceae
Exons: 3
Source: RefSeq, a predicted model, not a curated record